This is a long non-coding RNA of Myotis myotis, 400 nucleotides long. RefSeq lists it as uncharacterized. The transcript is spliced from 4 exons. Lineage: Eukaryota; Metazoa; Chordata; Mammalia; Chiroptera; Vespertilionidae. The record is from RefSeq and is a predicted model, not a curated record.
GGACCUUUCUUGUGUGACUGCAUGCAAGUCCUCUAAGUUACCUGGGAUUCCGGUUCCUGAAUUACCAAACAAAUAAAAGCAGAUAAUCAAGAUAAAUGUAGAACAUUCACAUAAUAAAUGAGCCUAUGGAAGCCACGGAAACUAAAUUAGUCACAUCACUGGAUUCCACUCCCCAUCUGCUUCUGUAGUUCACUGAGGAUAGUAAGGACAUUAAGUGAUAUGUUCAUUGGAAAUGCCACUGCAAAAAAAGAGACUAGAAUCACAGAAUUCACAGUGUCACCAUACUUAGACUUGAUGAAGUUUAUUUGUAAUAUCUUCUUAAAGAAACCUAAUAGAAGAUCCUAGGAAAAUGGACAGAGGCCAUCCCAUAGAGGAAAUGGUGUGCUAAUGUUAAGUGUUU